RNAcentral lists this long non-coding RNA (3117 nucleotides) under Xyrichtys novacula (pearly razorfish). The record is from RNAcentral. Lineage: Eukaryota; Metazoa; Chordata; Actinopteri; Labriformes; Labridae.
UUUACUUCAAGAGAUAUUUAUAUUCCAUUGAGAUGAAGGAAAUCAAAGAUAAUAUUAAACUUUUAGAUAUAACCUACCAGUGUAAGGGUUUUUCUAAAGUAAACAGCAUUUUAAAUCUCCAUGGUAACCUGUGACGAUGUAAAAACUUUAAAUCAUUACAAGCCAGAGAGAGCGGUCAUUUCUGAGGAUCAAAUCUGAAGAGAACAGCACGGAAAACUUAAGUGGCUCACGAACUUACAACUUUUGACGGCUUCAUCAUAAAUAAAACCUCACCAGACGACUAAGGACUCCGGCAAACACCUUCGAGAAACACCUGAACAAAGAGGACAACAUCUACGACAUGGAGACCGUAAGAUUUCAUGAUAAUAUUAUCAUACAAACUUGUGUUACUGUCGAGACUUUCGUGAUGCAUCGACAAGAAUUAAAUGUGUGCAUGGAUAUUUACAGUGUUUAUGACUUUAAUGUGACAGGCAUUAUCAAAAUUAACCGAAAAUAAGUGAACAUAGGCGUUUUUUUUGUGUGUGUUACUGUCGAGACGUUCGAAUGGUUAGCUUAAAAGUGAUGCAUUGACAUCACAUGAAAGUCCUGCCCACCAUGUCAAAGACUCUUUGUGCUUAAGAGCAGAAAAGCUCAUGUUAUUGUGCGAAAUCUCUCUAAGAGAUUUUUUAUGUCUUCUGGGCUAUUUAAAGCCGUCAGUCUGAAACUUAUUUGACAGUUUCUCCUUAUACUAACCAAUGCUAUCAGGUGAAAACUAUAAACACAAGCAAUUUUCACACGUAUUACAGCGAAAGAGGCACAUUAAAGGAGUGAAAUGUGGUGUUAAAAUAAGGGACACCUUCAUAACUUUAAAGAAUGACAGUCAUCAUAAAAUUCGACAAAAUAAACUAAAAAGACAUAAUAGUUAGACCUAUUUAUAAAUGCUCUAAUAGGCCUAGGUAACCAAAAAAAUCCUAUGAAUUACAUUUGAACCUAUUUAAAAAGUUACAAAACAGACAAAAUUAAGUUAAAAGUAAUGUCUUAUGUACAGCCUUUAAAAUGAAGAGUUCGAUAAUGUUCCACUGAAAUAUGUUUUCAUGUUUUCAUGGAUCAAGUGUGUGUGUUUUUCUACCACAAUAUUUAAAAUUUCAAUUAUGGGAAAAAUUCACUAAGUGUUAUCGAACCACUGUACUUUUGUGGAAGUCAGUUUUUUAUCAAACUGAAAACAGAGGAUUUUCUUAUUUAAUCCUGAAAAAGUCUUUUUCCCAAUAAAAUAAAAUGACUGAAAUAGACAUACCAAAAAUAUAAAUUCUUAAUAGUGGGUGUUGCAUUGAUGUUAAUCUAUUUCUAUUGCACAAUUAACCUGCUGAUUAGAGACUAAAUUCAAAUUAAAAUGUAUUGACUGUCUCUUCUUGAUGAUACUGAUGUUACAGAUGCUUCCUUCAUGACCUUGACCACACAGUCAAAUGUUUCAGCUUGUUUAAUUUAAAUGUCUGUGUUGUUUCUGUCUUCAGACCAGCCGACGCUUCACACGGACUUGGUCCUUGUGCACAGCUUCCACUGGUCCUGUCCCAAGCCGAUCUUGAAGAGGGUCGUGGCAACACCCAUGUCCCGUUCCAAGCCAAGCUGUGUAAGUAGGAAACCACACUGACAACAUAGAUUGGCCAUUAGCAUGCCCUCAAAACAACGUACAAAACUUUUAUAGUCUGAAUGAUUUUAAUUACAGAAAUAUGUUUAUGAAUUUGUCUUUUUUAAUUUUAAUUUUCUUUAACAUUAAUUUAUUUCAAAGAUGUGAAACCUUCCCCUGGAAAAAUAAUUUCUGCAGACUUCAGAUUUUAUAAUUUGUUGGUUUUUCUGUCUCAGGUCCGAGUGUAGCAGUACAGCCUCGUCCAGAACCAGGAUAAGUCCACUCCUCGGCUGUUACUGAGGAAGGUCCCACCGAUGUUCGGCCCUCCACGUUUCUCCUCCCCCAAGCUCAACCAGGUAAGUCACUCUCACUCCUCUUCUGUCUCUCCCUCUUUCUUUCCCUCUCCUCCUGUCUCUCAAAGAAAAAAAGAAAAAAGAAAGAAAAAAAAAAGAAAAAAGAAAAAAGAAAGAAAAAAGAAAAAAGAAAGAAAGAAAGAAAAAAGAAAAAGGAAAAAAGAAAGAAAAAAAGAAAAAAGAAAGAAAGAAAAAAGAAAGAAAGAAAAAAGAAAGAGAAAAAAAGAAAAAAGAAAAAAGAAAGAAAGAAAAAAAAGAUAAAAAGAAAAAAGAAAGAAAAAAGAAAAAAAGAAAAAAGAAGGAAAAAAGAAAGAAAAAAGAAAGAAAGAAAAGAAAGAAAAAAGAAAAAACAAGAAAGAAAGAAAAAAAGAGAAAAAAAGAAAAAAGAAAGAAAAAAGAAAAAAGAAAGAAAGAAAAAAGAAAGAAAAAAGAAAAAAGAAAGAAAAAAAGAAAGAAAAAAGAAAAAACAAGAAAGAAAGAAAAAAGAAAGAAAAAAAGAAAAAAGAAAGAAAAAAGAAAGAAAGAAAAAAGAAAGAAAAAAGAAAAAACAAAAGAAUGGACCUCGGUCCUUAUGCAAAGCUUCCACUGGUCCUGUCCCAGGCUGAUCUUGAAGAGGGUCGCGGCAACACCCAUGUCCCGUUCCAAGCCUCGCUGUGUAAGUAGGAAACCACACUGACAACAUAGAUAGGCCAUUAGCAUGCCCUCAAAACAACGUACAAAACUUUUAUAGUCUGAAUGAUUUUAAUUACAGAAAUAUGUUUAUGAAUUUGUCUUUUUUAAUUUUAAUUUUCUUUAACAUUAAUUUAUUUCAAAGAUGUGAAACCUUCCCCUUGAAAAAUAAUUUCUGGAGACUUCAGAUUUUAUAAUUUGUUGGUUUUUCUGUCUCAGGUCCGAGUGUAGCAGUACAGCCUCGUCCAGAACCAGGAUAAGUCCACUCCUCGGCUGUUACUGAGGAAGGUCCCACCGAUGUUCAGCCCCUCACGUUUCUCCUCCCCCAAGCUCAACCAGGUAAGUCACUCUCACUCCUCUUCUGUCUCUCCCUCUUUCUCUCCCUCUCCUCCUGUCUCUCAAAGAAAAAAAGAAAGAAAAAAGAAAGAAAAAAAGAAAAAAGAAAGAAAAAAAGAAAAAAAAGAAAGAAAGAAAAAAGAAAAAACAAGAAAG